AUUGAACGCUGGCGGCAGGCCUAACACAUGCAAGUCGAGCGGAUGAAGGGAGCUUUCUCCUGGAUUCAGCUGCGGACGGGUGGGUAAUGCCUAGGAAUCUGCCUGGUAUUUGGGGCUAACGUCCGUAAACGGGCGCUAAUACCGCAUACGUUCUGAGGGUGAAAGUGGGGGAUCUUCGGAGCUCGCGCGAUCAGCUGAGCCUAGGUCGGAUUAGCUAGUUGGUUUGGUAAAGGCCUACCAAGGCGACGAUCCGUAACUGGUCUGAGAGGAUGAUCAGUCACACUGGAACUGAGACACGGUCCAGACUCCUACGGGAGGCAGCAGUGGGGAAUAUUGGACAAUGGGCGAAAGCCUGAUCCAGCCAUGCCGCGUGUGUGAAGAAGGUCUUCGGAUCGUAAAGCACUUUUAGUUGGGAGGAAGGGCAGUAAGUUAAUCCCUUGCUGUUUUGACGUUACCAACAGAAUAAGCACCGGCUAACUUCGUG
RNAcentral lists this ribosomal RNA (484 nucleotides) under uncultured bacterium. RNAcentral describes it as "partial 16S ribosomal RNA". It matches the Rfam family "Bacterial small subunit ribosomal RNA", at positions 30 to 507 of the family's 1533-position model. The record is from RNAcentral.